CAGAUAUAACACCUUGUUUUAGUGAACAAAGGUAUAAGAUGGAAGAGAAGAGAGAAGAACAUGACAGUCAAGAGAAGAAAGAGAGAAAUGAGACACAUCGGAGGCGGAGAGGAUGCCUUUCUGUUGUGUCACUGGUUGGAGAAGUGAUGGUGUUGGCGGUGUUCGACCCACAUCCUCUUUCUAAGCCAAACUGACAAAAAAGAGAUGAGAUGGAGGCGUCGAGCAGACAGAUAGAAAAUAGGACAAGGGAGUCGCGUCUAACAUCAAUGAUGGUGGUGCCGGCGAUGCUUGUAUACCGGAGACGAGGAUGUCGAGUAUAAAAAAAGUAUUAAUUGUUAUAGGGUUGAUAAUGAAAAUAACAUUGGAGCCAAAGACAUUAAAUAGUUAAAUUAAUGAAAUUUAUAGCCCUUGCUAGCUAAAGAACUGGAGAGUUAGAAUAAAAUGGAAUCAAUAGCCCAUGUCAACGGGGUAAGCCUCUCUCUUUCAAAAUUAUUCGUUCAUAUUCAAUUUUUGUCUAUGUUACACGGACGAUUCAAAUCUGACACCCUCUCCUAACCAAAUUAGUGUUUUUUUCCAUGUUCCUCUCGUUUUAUUUGGAUUUUUCCAGUUAUUGCUUCUCUUAAUGCUUGCACAUUUUGUAUUUUACGUGUGUUAUCCCAGUAAAUGUUUGUGGAUCUGGAGAUUUGUUCUUCCAUGUUCCAAAAAGUCUAUGCUUUUGUUGGAUGCUUCAGCCUUGCUUUUUAGAUUCAUUUGUUUUUUGUGCUGCAUUUCUCUGGACUUUUAUUUUGGCGUUUCGGGAAUCCAGUUCGAGCUCAAACAGGUGGUCAGCCCACAACUUGUAGACUCCUUGAAUUAGCCGGUGCUCCUGCUUUUAUAUGCGUUGUUCUUGCUGCGUCGUUUAAUCCAGAACAUCAUCUUACAUAAACCAUCCAGAUCGUUUGGACCCUUAGCAGCUACAACAAACUCAGCCCCUAAACUGAUGUUGCCAUCAACCUCCAAACAUCCUGACACCAACAUUCUUUACAGCUGUGUCGUCUACCACAUAGACUCAUAUACCUAGAACUAAGAGGAAGCUAGACUUUGAAUGCACUGUUUCAAGCAGAUGUCCAGGUCUGACCUUCACACAUAAAUGUCUUUUCGUUCCUAUAUAAUGCUUUGAGUGUUCUUUCCUUUGUAUGGUGUGUUAAUAAUUC
Populus trichocarpa (black cottonwood) is the source of this 1193-nucleotide long non-coding RNA. RefSeq lists it as uncharacterized. The transcript has 3 exons. The record is from RefSeq and is a predicted model, not a curated record. Lineage: Eukaryota; Viridiplantae; Streptophyta; Magnoliopsida; Malpighiales; Salicaceae.